Cercocebus atys (sooty mangabey) is the source of this 3937-nucleotide long non-coding RNA. RefSeq lists it as uncharacterized. Lineage: Eukaryota; Metazoa; Chordata; Mammalia; Primates; Cercopithecidae. The transcript has 3 exons. The record is from RefSeq and is a predicted model, not a curated record.
GGAGAGGAGCUGGCGGGCUUUCCCGCGGGCCGGCCUGAAGUGGAAGGGCCCGGGGCUGCCUGCCACCCUCGGAUGCCACGCAGGUGCUGGGGAGGGCCCCUGUCCGUGGGCUCAGGGACGUGUUCGCACCGACAGGCACAGAAUGGAAAGCACCUUGGGGAAGAAGCGUGUCUCGCCAUCUCAGGAGGCAGGCCGGGCGUGCACACCGCCAGCCCCUCCCCGGAGCUCACUGCAGCUCCCCGCCGCCCCCCACGUGCUGGGGAGCGGGUCCGGUUCCCCACCAGUUUGCGUCUGGUCUUUGUGUUUGCUCUGGGGCCAGGCGCGCCCUCUGCUGCAGGCCUGGGCUCCUGUUUGGAGUUCUCCUUUCCUUUAUUGCUAAAUUGUCUUGAAAGGCAGUGGCCACACCAACAGAGGUCGUCCGGCCUUCUUCCCACGAAACGAAGCGCCCAAGUGAAAAUGCAUGGAGCCGCGGCAGCUUCUCGGCGGAGGGCUUCCUGGGACGGAAGACACAGGCUCGCCCCAGGGAGACGGAAGCAGGGGAUCGGCUGGAACUCAGCUCGCCUCCUCCUUUCUCAGCAGGGCAGAGAAUCAUGGGCUUGUGCUGACGAAAGCUCCAGAAAAUGGACUCAUUUAACCUUUCCAAAGAUGUUAUCCAAGCUGCAAAAUCUUGGCAAUCUGAAGACCUUUUAAGUCGAUAUACCAAAGAGCUUUAGUCGGGAUUGAAUGCAAAAUGCCAAAAUUUCACUUUUAAAAUCGUCGUAACAUCUAAAUACAACCUAAGCACACUUGUAAACUGAUGCCGAACAGGCACUUUGAGAGCCCUCCCUGCACCCCUUCCUCGCCCCCUCCUUUGUGCAAAUGCUGUUUGCCCAGAACUUCAGCCACUGAAAAUCCUGGGAACUUUCUCUUCCUGGCUGGCAACCUAGCAGUUUGGACUCCCAGAGGAGGUUUUGAAAUCACUGAGGGAUUUAAGCCUCUCUGUGUCAUAGAAAAGCCAACACCCUCCCAGUUGAAGGUGGCCCCAAAGAUGCAGGCUUGGGACCCAGGACUUCUGCGGGAGAGUGGACGCCUGGGUGCCCCCCCGCCUUGCCCUGCACAUGGUAGGUGCUCAAUAAUUACAUACUAAAUAUUCAUACAAAGCAGUGAUCCUGCCGAAGAGAUCCACUGCAAUGCACCUGGCUUCCUAGAAGCAGUAAAUGAAAAGCUUUUCUAUUUUUUAAAACAGAGAAAAGAUUAAUGAAGCCGUGACGUAGAGGCGGAGAGCUCAACAGAAUCAAGACGUGUGCAGAAGCAAUUUGCUUCUGAAACUCUAAACACGGGUGCUUUAGUACUUCCUGACACUCCUCAGCAGCAAGCAAAUAAAUAUUUACAUGUGGAAGGAAACUGUCCUUUGAAAUGUAGGUUGUUCUAUUCAGAAGAGAAAUACGGCAAGGUUCCACGGCUUUAGUGGCAACACGCGUUAUUUAUGUUUUCCAGUUUGAAAAUCAUGCGCUUUCUAUUAGGACCCUUACGUGGUAAACACCGAUUCCCACAUGAAGCGAAUUAGUCCGGCAACCCUCCCCCACCCCACUCUUGCUGGUUCAGGGACAACAGCAUAAGCUCUGACCAAUCACCGUUUGUUUUAUGCUUUGAUUACCUGGCGAGCUAAAAGCAAUGAUAGUAAAAGCCUGGACCUGCCAUGUAUUCAGUCUGCAUUUGUUACUCUCCCCUUUCUUCCAUUUAUGAGUUUGUUCCCAAAAGAUUUUUUUUUAAAACUUCUGACUCGAGUAACUUUUCCUCUGAUCUGAUCUGAUGUCAAAUUAGUGGGUGGCAGGAGAAAGCAGGCCACAUGAUAUCAUCGUUUCCUAUUCAAACAGAUGGCUUUUUUUUUCAAUAAAAAUACUCUGACUGCAAGGCUAUGAGUGUGCAGAUAAUUGUGCUGCUUCCUCCGAUUGGAGGUGUCUCCAGGGAGUUUCCACGCGCAGGAAGCUUUCCUGUUCUGAGGUUUUGGAAGAACACUUUCAGCAGGAUUUCGGGUCACUGAAAUGAAAGUGAACUAUGCUCUGUACAAAUGCAUCAUGUUUAAUUCAAGAGAAAUUCAUUCAUUUCUUUGUUCCAUAAAUAUUUACUGGCAGCCCGUUUUGUAUAGGAGGCUGCCACCUCCCAAAAGCCCCCCGCUCCUCGAGUGGGUUGAGCCUGAUACCCCUCGUCAACAGAUGUGCCCAGAGGCCUGGGGUGCCCAACACAGGCUCGUUCAGAAUAACAGAGCACGCCAGUGAUCAUAAGAAGAAAAAUUCACACUUAAAGUUUGGAAAGCAACAGGACAAAGGUCUGUCUUCAGUGGGAGUAUCCUAUGAAGAUGGUCUCAAAGCACUUUGAGAUGAACAGAAUGUUCUAUAAAUGGGAAUUGAAAAUAAUCAAGACAUUCAUGGAUCCAAACAGGCCACAGAAAUACCAUAGCAACAAAUGAACAAUAAUUGCUGCAUUAUGGGCUCUUUCCCCAGCUGCACUCAUGCAAUCAAAGCUCUGCUGCGUCUUCAGAAGGAGCCCAGGUCAGGUCUGGCUGCCAUCACCCAUGAGGAAGACGUGCGGAGCCAGACAGAUGCCUGGAGGAAAGGUGGGUGUGUGCUGUCCUGCCCCAUCCUCUCUGUUUCCCUCCCACAUGUUUGCAGAGACGUCCUCAGCAUGGAACCAGGGCCCUUGACAGAGACAUUGUCAUUCCGGACCCCCCACACCCAAGCCAGUUCAUCCAAGUCACCUGAUGAUGUGCUCUGAAGAAACUACCUGUUGCAGCAAACUCCUUACCUUACUGGACGCGUCGCCAUGGCCAGCGCAGGAUGAGGCCGUGGGCGGAUCUUAAUGACACAGUCCAUCCUGCAAACCAAGGUCAACAAGGCGGCAGGUAUGGCCACAGCCCCUCACCGUGGACUCUGGACGAGCCAAUACACGGUGUGCUAUUCCCCAGUUAUUUCUGAAUACAGCCACAGGGAGAUGUGAACCAGCCCCACUUCCCUAGGGCACACAGAGGCUAGAAAGGAUCCACAGGACCUGUUCAACUUGCCAAUGAUCCCAAACUCCUGAUCCAGGCAGAUCACUAAGACAGAGAAAUAUUCCCUUUUCUAGGAAUGCCCUCUGGCCUCACCCUGCUCAAUGAUGUGUCCACUAGCUCGACACACCCCAGUUAGUGGGGGCAUCUUCUCCAGCGGUAGGGGGGACUGCAGUGGGGGCAGCUGUGGAGAUGGCAGAAUCUUUCCUGCGGGAUUCUGGAAUGUCGUAUCCCCUCUGGAAGAGACACAAGGAGUGAAGGUGACACUGGGAAGGGUGUGGGAGGGAGAACCUUCCUUACUGCCUGGCGUCCCUCAGGGGCCAGUGACCAACCUUAUUAGCCACCUCUGUGCAUUCAACCGCUUCCUCUCUCCUGAGGCAGCCAGAGCCUGAAUAUCUCAGCAAGGCAUUAAGAAAAGCUUUAAUAAUUGAUUUAAUUAAAGUCUAAAAAUUAUAGAACCAGCUCCUAUGAGUUGAGUGAUUUCAGAGCUCUCCUUUUCUUUGCCGUCUUCGAAGGGUAAUCUGGAUGCUGGAGGGUUGCUCUCUGGCUUGACAAACUCAGUUUGUUUCCAUAGUUACAAAACACUUGUGCUCUUCCCGACCCACAAUCCAUCAGGAGGGGUACACUGGCUGCCUGGUAACCACGAGAUCAUUUCCUGAAUUGGCAGACCUCUUUAACACUGUCUAAACAUUAGAAAGGUGGGUGACCACACCUGUUUUGUGCACUCCCUGACAAUCUCAUUUUGAUUUAAGUAUUUUGUAGGAAGCAAAGUAAAGACGAUUUGCACUACAAAUUACAAAUAUUUAUAUCUAAUCCCCCAAUAAAUUCAAGGGAAAAGGCGGGAACUUGAAAGAGCGCGAGCAGUCGCUGCCGUGCCCCAAGGAGUUUGCUCUCGCCCGGGCUGACUCCAUG